Molecule: long non-coding RNA, 5221 nt
Organism: Neofelis nebulosa (Clouded leopard)
Lineage: Eukaryota; Metazoa; Chordata; Mammalia; Carnivora; Felidae
Exons: 8
Source: RefSeq, a predicted model, not a curated record
GAAGUGUUACAUUCCAAAUACAAUUGGUGAAAAGGAUAAAAUUCCAGGAUAAAUCUUUUGAAAAGUGCAAUUGCUGUCAACUCCAAAAGUACAUCCCCUUAGGAUAUAGCUGGGACAGAGAAGUUGCCCAAUCCUGGUCAGUGUCCAUCUGCCAUUCAGUGUCAGUCACCUGUGACCUGCUGACUUUCAUACUUAACCCUUGCUUUUGCCUACUGUUCUACAUUGAGUUCAAAACAAAGUUGGGAAAGGCUUGAAGAAAAUUGCAGGCAAGGAAGCAAACCUGAGAGAGAAAGAUGAUUACAGUGCAAAGGAGGCGGUGUGGCAUCCAGGUACCAUUUGCCAAUAUUACUGAAGGUGACUUGCUCCAGCUUGGCUGAUGUCAGUACACUGAAGUGUUCUAAACUGAGGAACACGGAACAGAUCAGAGGAAAGGUAAUUGCACAGCGUAUCUGGAGCAGAGGGCGCUGCUAUCUGUCAAGGUCUGAAUGCGAAAAUGGUUGGACAGGGGCUGUGGAUAGAGAUUCUGGGUAAGUGAUAGUUCAGGGGCUCUCUACACAGAGAAAAAUCUAUGAAGGGAGACCAUAAAGAGAGAGAAGAUAUCUUAGUGACUAUCAACACUGCUACUUGGGAAAGCACAAGAAAGAGGGAUGGUGAUAGAGAGUUAGGAGAAGGAAGAGCACCGCUGGGACAAAUUCCCCCAAAGAAGAGAUUGUCACUGAUGUUAAAUCCUACUGUGAUCUCAAAGGAAAAGAAAUCACAAAAUUUAAUUGAUGUGUCACUUUAAUGAGAGAUAUAAAGGAAAAUUCUUAAAAACUGAGAUUAUAUAUUGUGUUCCUAAAGGAGAGAUCGAGUGUUGUGAAGUUAUUUAUUUAUGCCAACCAAAAUCCCAUUUGAAUAAAUUUUGGGAGAGAAGAGGCAGAGAGUAAUAUCUUGAUAAAAUAAUUCUAAGAUUCAAAAUAAGUAAAUGAGAAUAAUAUUUUUUAAAAAGACGAGACUUGAGGUGAAGCUUCUCUGUUUAGGUAUUAGAAUAUUAUAAGUGUAUGGUAAUUCAAUUUUUGUUUGAUGUUUACUUAUUUUCGAGGAGAGAGAGAGAGAGUAUGAGCAGGGUAGGAGAGAGAAAGACGGAGACACAGAAUCUGAAACAAGAUCCAGGCUCUGAGCUGUCAGGACAGAGCCCAACACGGGGCCCGAAGUCACAGACUGCACGAUCAUGACCUGAGCCAAAGUUGGACGCUUAACCGACUGAGCCACCCAGGUGCCUCAAGGGUAUGGUAAUUAAAAUGUACAAAUCAAAAGAAAAAACAAGGGUAAAUGAAACAAACUCUAGAAUAUAUAAAAACAAAAUAUUACACAGGAAGUAUCAUGAAUAAAAAUGGGGCAUUAUGCAACACUUAUUUCAGUAAAAUUAAUUUACAGAGAAAAAUAAAAUUAGAGGCUCACAUCUUACACUAAAAUUAAUUCCAGAAUUAAAUAUGAAACAAAAUGUAAAAAAAAAAAAGAAAAAAUAACUGAUUUAUUGGGAUUGUACAAACAACUCUCCAAAUUUAAAAUCGAUGAGAGUGAGUUCUAAAAACAAGAACAAUAGCUGUAAUAUAUAAAAACCAAAAACUAUAGGGGCGCCUGGCUGGCUCAGUCAGUUAAGCACCUGACUCUUGGUUUCGGCUCAGGUCUUAAUCUCUUGAUUUCGUGGGCUCGAACCCCGCAUCAGGCUCCGUGCUAACAGUGCAAAGCCUGCUUGGGAUUCUCUUUCUCUCCCUUGCUCUCUGCCCCUCCCCCACUCACGCUGUCUCUGUCUCUCUCAAAAUAAAUAAAUAAACUUAAAAAAAACUAUAUAUCUAAAAAAAAAAAAAAAUAGCCAAAAUAGCAAAUUGGAUGUGAACAAGACAGAAAGUUAAUUUUAAGAUGAUUACUUAGAAGAAUUCAUAUGAUUUCUGCAUCUGGUCAAGAUGAAGUAACUAGAAUCAAAUUUAUCCUCCCGUUUGAAACAACCAAACAAUAGACAAAAUACAUGGAGUGGUGAUUGGCGAGAACUAGAUAUCAGAUAAUGAAAGGUAAUGAUAACUGAGAAGUGAGAAUUCUUCCCAAACCUAGGUGAGCCCCAUAAUUUACCCCAGCAUACUUCUUCAAGAAAGUUCCCAGACCAUGGCACGGGGAGGGGAAAUUUAAACUCACCCCGGAAAACUUUCCAAGCUGAAAAGAUGUAGCUGAGAGUCAGGGAAGUCAAGGCAGCUGGAACUGGCAGGGCAGAGUACCGAAGAGAAGAGAGAGAACUCAGGAGACGUGCAAAGAGGCUUCCGCAAGAAUUUAGGUGACUACCCAUCAAUGCUUGCAUGUGAGAAAAUACCCAAGACCAGGGAAAGACCCACCCAAAAGAAUUAGAGGUGAUAGUUACCUAUGCACAUAGGGGACUAGGAAUGAUGCUUAUUCCCACCAGCCAGACUAGAAAAACCUCACCGUUCACAGAGCAUUUGCUAUAGCACAUGUCAGAAACUGUAACAGGAUGUGACAUUUUAUUUUAUUUGCAAGCCAACAAGCAGCCAUGAAGGCUGGUGGAAGACACAAGACUCCUAAGCAUGAGAGGAGGAGUGUAUUGAUUAUUUAGAGAAAUCACAGUAGCAAGAGUAUCUGCUGUUUUUCUAACAAUUCUCUGAGUCCCAGUUCCCCCAGGGUGACUCAAAGAAGGCUAGAUGAGCCUUGCACAUGUGGUGGGUUGCCUUAUAGGAGAGAAACUUGGGCUAUUUCCGGUAACAUCGAAAAGUGUGAAACACUUAAGGAUAAAACAUGUGAAAGACCUACCUGUGCACUGAAGAGUACUGAGCAUUGCCGAACAAAUUUAAGGAAGACUCUCCAAAGUGAAGACGUAUACCAUGUUCACAGGACUGGUGUUUUUAAAAGAAGAGGAAGAGACACCAGGGAUACAUGCACGCGGAGAAAAGACCAUGUGAGGACACAUAAGAAGGUGGCCAUUGAUAAGUCAAAGAGAGAUGCCUCAGGAGAAACCACUGUGCUGGCACUUUGCAGCCUCCAGAACUGUGAGAAAAUAAAGCUGGCAGCCAUUCUUGAUGUCGACCAGGAUUCACGCUCCUAGAUGUUGCACAACUUGGAAUACAUUUGAGCUGCAUCUCCUGGAGUGGACGCUGUUUGGAUCGAUGCUAACCCGCAGCUUUGGGAUUUGGGCUGCUGGCCCUUCUUUGUUAGGAGGCAGGAUUUGAAGCCAAUAUUCACAAGAUGAAGUUUGGAUGAAGAGCAACACAAGAGGGUAUAAAACACUGUCACAUUUUUUCAUGCCAGCAAAUAUUUCUUCCUCGUAUUAUUUCUUUAAAUAGCUCUUCACAAUAAGCAACCUCGGGGAAUAACAAGUCCAAAAAGAAGAACCGGGCCAAGCACAGCUCCUAACAGAAAUUCAGCGCAUGAUUUAUUAAUAAGACCCUGUUUGCUCUGAGUCGUUUUAUCUCCCAAAGAGUACGUAGUAGGAACAGUUGAGCCUGCAAGGAGAGGGUGUUCCUGUGCCUUUCCUGGAGUACAGCGACUGGCUACUGUUGAGAAUCUUCGUGUGCGGUUACCGAUGCAAUGUGUGCCUGAAGUCACUGCCUGAUCCUGCCACAUAGGGAAGUGUGAGGAAAUGUCAGCCCAUGGCCAAGUCUCUGCGUCACCACGGCCCCGGAUAGCAGUCUCCCCAAGCUUUGCUCAUUUUUCAAAAUGCCCAAGGAGAGCGAGGAGAGAAAACAAGAAUCAGGGAAAAGGAUGCCUGGAAUAAUCUAACUUUCAGUUACGUCAUAUUACAACCCAUAAUAAUAUAAGUGUAAAGGACAAUGCAAUUCCUCCAGGAGAUUAAUAGGCAUUUGAGGGCCUUUUAAGAAAAGAAUAAUGUUUGAUCUAAUGCCCCCAAACAGUAGGAGAUACUGUAACUCAGUGUUGGGCCAAAUGCUUCAUCUGAGCUCUGCACACUUCACAGUGAGUCUCUGACUUUUACAUUAAUUUCCACGAAUGGACACGCAGAUCCCGUGUUUUAAAUCCUCGUGCAGACCCGGAUGAAAGCGAACACUAGCUCCUAGAGUCACCUAGUCCUUCUCUGUGGAAUCAUUUCUAAUUGAAUGUUAAGAUCAAAGUUUAAGUUUAUAAGAAAGAAAAACAAGUGCAGAUAAAUAGUUAUUAUCUGACACCCUUAUGAAAAUUCAUGACCUGCACUUUUAUCGGAGACCUUAUAAGAAUUCUAAUUGUGAAGUAUGCGGAGCCAUUAAAUGGCGAGUACGCUUCAGUCUCUUGAUAAGAAGUGAGUUAAAUAAUUGUCCUGUUUAACUUGUGCUUGUUAACCUUUAAGGUCAACUAGUUUGAACAUACGUUUAAUGAAAUCCUGGAGCCAGAAUUUAUGAUACUGCUGCCGAAUGCUAAAUUGGACAAUUUACAUAAGCAGGACAUUAACCUUCUGAGCACUAAAUAGCAUUUUAGCACUUAGCCGCUGGGGACAAUAAGGGACAUGUUCUAUAUAUUUGUGAUUAGCUUGCCUGGAAACUCUCAUGAUGACCAAUUGGCCUACCAAGUUUAGCAGCAUAAUUAAAUGAAUGGACUCAACCUAAGUAAAUUAUCAGUGCUGUGUACAGUAUAUCAUUAUAGUCCAAAGGAAAAAAAAAAGAUAUGAAUAAUUUAAUAAUACAUUACUAAUUUAUCAAUGCUAAGUGACUUUGAGGAGGCUCUUUGCAGUUCAUUGUUUUAAAUUUGAUAUUUGAUUUAUUGCUCGCGUGAUUAAAAUUGAGCCUGUUUCAUUUCUUACUAGAAGUAUAUAGAAGCAGUAGAUUUUAUUUUAUUUCAUUUCAUCUCAUUUCAUUUUAUUGAGGUGAGACUGGUGGUGUUUCCUGCUUUGGUGAUAUUACAAAAUACCUCCUACUGUGCACUGAUUAGCAGCCAUAUUGCUUGCCACUAGAGAAACAAUAGUUUCAGAAUAUUUUCCAAAGGACGCAAAUGAUUACAUGGCCCUCUUCUUAUUGGCCAGUGUGAUCUCAGCUGUGAAAGCUUUUCUAGAGAGCAUGAGCGGCGAAGAGCAGGAGAGAGAGAGAAUCUCAAGCAGACUCCACACUCAGCGCAGGGCCCAACGGGGGGCUCAAUACCUCAACCCUGAGAUCAUGACCUGACCCAAAAUCAAGAGUCAGACUCUCAACUGACUAAGGCACCUGGGCACCCCUGUCCUAUUAUUUUUCUUGGUAAACCAAACAGACAAACUGCA